Molecule: ribosomal RNA, 233 nt
Filed under: uncultured bacterium
Lineage: Bacteria
Description: partial 16S ribosomal RNA
Rfam family: Bacterial small subunit ribosomal RNA
Source: RNAcentral
GACGAACGCUGGCGGCGUGCUUAACACAUGCAAGUCGAGCGGUAAGGCCCUUUCGGGGGUACGACGAGCGGCGAACGGGUGAGUAACACGUGGGUGACCUGCCCUCAGCUCUGGGAUAAGCCUGGGAAACCGGGUCUAAUACUGGAUAUGACUCCAUGACGCAUGUUGUGGGGUGGAAAGCCUUGUGCGGCUGAGGAUGGGCCCGCGGCCUAUCAGCUUGUUGGUGGGGUGGA